GCGUAUAAGUUUUGUAAUACUUUUAGUCACUAAAUUAAUUAUUUCAUUAUUACAUUUUAAAAAGUGCGUAGUUUUUAAAAAAUUGUAGCGAAAUAUCAUUAUUUUAUACUAAAUUUUUCAUUUUCAUUUUUAAAUUUUAUCAUAUUUUUUUACAGAUCAAAUUGUAUAUCUAUUAAAAGUACGUAUAUUUGUUAAAAACAUCAAUUUUUAGAUAUCUAAAACAUAAAAUAUCACAAAAAAAUUACAAAUUAAAUCGAAUCGUAAGUUGAUUAUCCGUGCAGAAUAGAGUGGAACACAUAUAUCAUUAAAAUUUUGGUUAUGUGCCUACACUUUUACC
This 337-nucleotide long non-coding RNA is filed under the name Brassica napus (rape). Its description in RNAcentral is "long non-coding RNA (BNAP_LNC006170)". The record is from RNAcentral. Lineage: Eukaryota; Viridiplantae; Streptophyta; Magnoliopsida; Brassicales; Brassicaceae.